AUCGAUUUCUCUUCCCUCAGAAAUCGUUAUUGAUUUCUCAUCUUUAUGACCUCUUAAAUCAAUGAUUUUAAUGGCCACUUCCCUCAUAUUGAUGACCUCUCUUCCGGAACCUUAUUAAAACUUUCCCUUUCAUAAUCCUAUCAACAAGCAAAAACCUUUUCAAAAGCCUCUGAACUCCAAUCAUGGCAUCAAAAGAUAUACAUGUAUUUUCCUCUCUUUCUUUUUAAUGCGAUAUGAAUAUCUGAGUCCUCUUCAAUUGAUGAGAUUUACGCAAAAAAACCCAAAAAAAAAAACAAACAGAUUUGUGGGCUCAGUGUGUUGAUGAUGGAGCAGUCAAGUGGUAGUCUCGGAUACAAAGGAGAUGUGAACCCGGGAGAAUCAUCCUGUUAGUGAAGCUGAAAUUGGUUUCUAAGUAAGGAAAUAAUAGCAAGUGUUGAAAUGACUCAACGAAAAGAUGAUGAAUACCUAUGAAGAUUGCAACGGACGACGAACCAGUUAAGCUCCGAGAAUCCAAAGAGAGCCGAAGCAGUUACUAUUCUGAGGUUCAGAGAGAGAGCCGAAGCUCUCAUAGAGAAAGCUUCACCAUUUUUGAAGUAAUUGUUCUUGGAUCCCAAUCUGACACUGUAAGAGUUUGUACCAGUCAUGUGAGACGACGAAGUUUGCUGUACAAAACUUGGGACCGAAAAAAUAAUGUCAGAAGAAAACUAAAAAGAGAUUCUAUAGAGAAACCGAGACAGUACUAAAGAUGUUGUAAAGAGGUCCUUUGCAGUUUGGUAGCUCCCACAAGCUUCAGGAUCCGCAGCAGCAGCUAUACAUUAGAAAGCUAUGCAAGGACACCUGGGGAUUAGACCAAUGGGCAUCAACAACAACGGGAUGCAGAAUCCGAUACAACCAGAAACCGCUCUUGGAGGAAGCGUGGGGCAUAGAGGAGGGACGCAAAAUGGAGCAGAUGGACAAGGAAAAGCUGAUGGCAAAUGAAAGGAUCCAAAGGACCAAAGAAGCUUUGUUUUGUUGAUAUUUAGGACUACUGCUUUAUCUGAGUCUCACUAAGGCGUUGCAUUAGUUUUCUUGAGUUUUAACAGAAGAUAGACUGUGGAAUAGUAUAGUUCCCCCUCAUGUUCUCUCCAACCUUUAAACAUAUAUGUUGCAUAUACAAAAUACCAAACAGAA
Molecule: long non-coding RNA, 1170 nt
Organism: Eutrema salsugineum
Lineage: Eukaryota; Viridiplantae; Streptophyta; Magnoliopsida; Brassicales; Brassicaceae
Exons: 7
Source: RefSeq, a predicted model, not a curated record